This is a long non-coding RNA of Eleginops maclovinus (Patagonian blennie), 1026 nucleotides long. RefSeq lists it as uncharacterized. The transcript is spliced from 5 exons. NCBI's taxonomy places the organism in Eukaryota, Metazoa, Chordata, Actinopteri, Perciformes, Eleginopidae. The record is from RefSeq and is a predicted model, not a curated record.
UCACCCCCCCCCCUGAGGGUCUAGAGUGGCCCCAAGCAGGUGUAAGGCCCGGACAUUGGUGGUGGCUUGGUCACACACAAUUGCCUGAACCUAACAUGUAGAAAAGUAUCAAUGCAUGGCCUAUAGCCUGCAGGUGGUGAAUGGCUCCCCUGAUGGUGUCUGCAAUCUCCUCCGACAGCAUGGAGCUGGAGGAAAAGAAGUAUCCAAUUGGCUGGAAGACAUUGGGAAAGUGCUUGUUAGAGAAGUAUCCGACUCGUGCCGUAACGAAUCUGUGAAGAGUUGUAGCUGGGCCCGGAUGAAAUCACGGCACUUUUCUGAGCAGUUGGGCAGGAUCUCUUUAAGGCUACAUGGGGAGAAAAUGUUAAGUCCAAAAAACAAAGGAGGAGAGGCAAGCAGUGGUGGGUUUCCACAGUUCACCAAUGUGGGGAUGGCUUCUUGUGUGAGUGCUUUUCUUCCAUUAGACUAGUACAGAACAUGAAGGACAUCGUCAAGGACAGUAAUGUCACUGUUGACUAAAAAUGUUUCACUAAUGUUACACACCAGCACAACUCACUUUUCGAAGAAAGCGCUCCUCAAAAUGUAGCUCACACACCACAUAUCCUCCCUGCAUCAUUUCUGCAUGGGACAGACUAAGUCUGAGGUCAGCCCUUCUGAUAUUAAUGAGCCAUCUUUUCCUCCUGAAAGUGAAAUCUGAUUAAAUGUAGUCUUUUUGGACCUGUGUUCUGUUGUAGGUGUCUUGGUUUUCAUUCCGUUUCUGUUCAGCCACAACUUUGUUUGCUGUAUUGUUUUGUUUACUUGUGUGUGUGUGUGUGUGUGUGUGUGUGUGUGUGUGUGUGUGUGUGUGUGUGUGUGCUCUCUUCUCUGUGUUCUCUUGUUAAAUUGCUCUCUCCUAUUUUAGACCGCUCACAUCAUCCCCUUCAUUUAAGUUUUUAGCUGUAUAGGUGUUUUUGCACGUUUCAAUUGGGUACAAUGAAUUGGGUAUUACUUUCUUCUGUUCUGUUCUUGUAAUCUCUCAUUCACGAAGGC